AGGAUAAAAGUUUUUAACAACAUUUAAUUUGCAUUUAAAAAAUAAUGAUAAUAUCAUUUUAUCUUU
Molecule: transfer RNA, 66 nt
Filed under: Rhagophthalmus giganteus
Lineage: Eukaryota; Metazoa; Arthropoda; Insecta; Coleoptera; Rhagophthalmidae
Description: tRNA-Ala
Source: RNAcentral